Small nuclear RNA from Heterocephalus glaber (naked mole-rat), 106 nucleotides. Lineage: Eukaryota; Metazoa; Chordata; Mammalia; Rodentia; Bathyergidae. The record is from Ensembl.
GUGCUUGCUGCAACAGUACACAUACUAAAAUUGGAGUCAUACAGAGAAGAUUAGCGUAGCCCUGUGUAAGAAUGACACAUAAAUUCGUGGAGUGUUUCAUAUUUUU